RNAcentral lists this unclassified non-coding RNA (268 nucleotides) under Hevea brasiliensis (rubber tree). Lineage: Eukaryota; Viridiplantae; Streptophyta; Magnoliopsida; Malpighiales; Euphorbiaceae. The record is from RNAcentral.
CUCCUGUACAAAUGAAUCAUAGAUUGCUAUGUUAUAACCCCCAAUUAAAUGGGCUAAAAGAAUGAGGCCACGUACACAAUUACACAGGACACACCAUUAAGCAUGCAUCAGAUGAAUCAAGAUGGCAAUGUUUCAGAAGUGAAGAAAAGCCCUAGAAGGCGCAAAUAGCGAACACGGAAGCGCCUCCAAUAUAUCAAGAAAUCCAGAGUCUGAACCUCAAGAUAAGAUCACAAGUCCAAGAUAUAUGGAUCCACAGAGAAAAACAAAU